RNAcentral lists this ribosomal RNA (508 nucleotides) under uncultured bacterium. Its description in RNAcentral is "partial 16S ribosomal RNA". It matches the Rfam family "Bacterial small subunit ribosomal RNA", at positions 28 to 523 of the family's 1533-position model. The record is from RNAcentral.
GAUGAACGCUAGCUACAGGCUUAACACAUGCAAGUCGAGGGGAAACGAUAGAGAAAGCUUGAUUUUUCUAGGCGUCGACCGGCGCACGGGUGAGUAACGCGUAUCCAACCUGCCAAUCACUUGGGGUUAACCUUACGAAAGUAAGACUAAUACCCAAUGAUAUCUCAAGAAGACAUCUUAAUGAGAUUAAAGAUUAAUCGGUGAUGGAUGGGGAUGCGUCUGAUUAGCUUGUUGGCGGGGUAACGACCCACCAAGGCGACGAUCAGUAGGGGUUCUGAGAGGAAGGUCCCCCACAUUGGAACUGAGACACGGUCCAAACUCCUACGGGAGGCAGCAGUGAGGAAUAUUGGUCAAUGGGCGAGAGCCUGAACCAGCCAAGUAGCGUGCAGGAUGACGGCCCUAUGGGUUGUAAACUGCUUUUAUAAGGGAAUAAAGUGAGCCUCGUGAGGCUUUUUGCAUGUACCUUAUGAAUAAGGACCGGCUAAUUCCGUGCCAGCCGCCGCCGUAA